Molecule: long non-coding RNA, 358 nt
Organism: Gossypium arboreum
Lineage: Eukaryota; Viridiplantae; Streptophyta; Magnoliopsida; Malvales; Malvaceae
Exons: 2
Source: RefSeq, a predicted model, not a curated record
UUUGUGACUGAGCAAAUAAUGGAUAAAUAUUAAUAUCAAUAUUUUUUAGUUCUAAUGUGACUGAGCAAAAGAAAUUGAUCAUCUCUCAACUACUUAAUGUUAGAAACUCUACAUAUCUGGAGAAGUACUUCGACUUAUCAAACAUGGCGGGUAGAGGAAAGAGAUCGGCUUUUCAAGGACUGAACGAUAGGAUAAAAAGAAAAAUUAGCAGAUGGAGUAUCAGGCUUAUUUCAUAAAGGGGAAAGGAGGUAUUUAUCAGGAACUAAAUUGAAGACAAAAGGAAAUUUAGGGGGAAAAAGCGUGCAUUUAAAGACAAAAUGAGUCAGCAUGGGAAAUAGGGAAGAAGUGGUGCCAAAAA